This 1255-nucleotide long non-coding RNA is filed under the name Aquilegia coerulea. Its description in RNAcentral is "long non-coding RNA (ACOE_LNC002089)". Lineage: Eukaryota; Viridiplantae; Streptophyta; Magnoliopsida; Ranunculales; Ranunculaceae. The record is from RNAcentral.
ACUUUUGGAAUAGACUCCAUUAUAUGUCCGUUGUCGUCUAGCCGUCCAUCAUCUCUGGCUGUUUGAGAUAUGCAAUAGGGAACAAAGGAUUCAUUAAAAAAACUGCAGUGUCACAUUUUGAUGAGCGCAUUGGAAACACACCAGCAACAAAUUUAUUCAACAAAAAAAAUUAAAUUUAAUAUGCUUGCAAAAACAUGCUACAUCUAUCAACCUGGUCCAACAAAGCAAACCAUUGCCACCUGCCCACCUCAACACUUGGUUCAACCUCAAAGAUGAUGUACUAGCUCCAUGGUCCUGAAGUUGUCAGGCUCUUUCAGGCUGUAUCAGUAAAUGACAAAGGUGACUCAUAUAACUGAUUUAUAUAAAAUUUAGAUUGGUCAGGUGUGCCAAGCCCUUGCAAUAGAGUGAAACAAAGACAAGGUCUGGGAGCCCCAACAGGAACCUGUGGUGGACCCUUCCCAGAGAAAAAUUUAUUUCACAUCAUGUGGACAAAUGGCCUAUGUCUCACUCUCAGAUGCUACAUAGCUAAGAACAGAUAUCACAUUUGAUCUCAGGCAAAAGGAAGAGAUGGUAUGAUUUUCUCUUGAAUUGGACUUUAGUUGUAUCCAUUUUGCUCUCUUAUACUCAUGGACAUACCAAGAACGGAAAAUAAACGCUUCAUUUUGUUCUGUGCAUUUAUUAGGUAGAUCAGUGACUGAGACCCUAGCCAUGUGUUAACCAGAAGAAUUCCAAAUCAUGGACAUGCGCAUAUAAUAUAUCAUAACACACCUUCUUAUGAUUUUUAUUACGGAGUAUUAUUUUUUCCUUAGGUUCAUUAUAUUCUCAACUCGAUCACUUGCUAGAUCUAUAAAUAGCAUGACACUCAUGUAGCAACCAAAUGUAAAAUGCAACAUAAUGUCUAUUGUUACACACUAAAGAGACUGUGGUUAAACAUAAUGUUUAUCUUUUCUUUAUAAAUAUCAUUGAAAAUGUCUGCUUGAGAAAUGUUUGAUGAAAUGUCAAUGAGAAAAACAAAGACAUGAUGGAUUCGUAAAACCAUCCAAUGAAACUAACCUGAAGGUUUGCACACAGAGAAAUGAUUGAUCGAAGCUUGCCGACGAGAUCCCAACAUAAUGAAUAAUUGAGAAUAAAAAUGAAUGAAAUGAUCGUUCUUUUCGAAUUGAAUAUCAAAUAGAGUAGAGAUAUUGAAGAGCGGGAAGAAAGAAGAGAAAUUAGACAACUCACACUCUCGAGUCUGGACUAUGGACUCUUCGAA